ACCUCGGGAAACUGAGGAUAAACCGCGAUAGGCCAAAGUUUCUGGAAUGGACACUGGCUGAAAUCUAUACGGCCCCUGGAUUGGACUGCGGCCGAUCAGGCUGUUGGUGAGGUAAUGGCCCACCAAACCUGUAACCGGUAUGGGCUCUGAGAGGAGGAGCCCGGAGAUGGGCACUGAGACAAGGGCCCAGGCCCUAUGGGGCGCAGCAGGCGCGAAACCUCUGCAAUAGGCGAAAGCUUGACAGGGUUACUCUGAGUGAUGUCCGUUAAGGGCAUCUUUUGGCACUUCUAAAAAUGGUGCAGAAUAAGGGGUGGGCAAGUCUGGUGUCAGCCGCCGCGGUAAUACCAGCACCCCGAGUGGUCGGGACGUUUAUUGGGCCUAAAGCAUCCGUAGCCGGUUCUACAAGUCUUCCGUUAAAUCCACCUGCUUAACAGAUGGGCUGCGGAAGAUACUAUAGAGCUAGGAGGCGGGAGAGGCAAGCGGUACUCGAUGGGUAGGGGUAAAAUCCGUUGAUCCAUUGAAGACCACCAGCGGCGAAGGCGGCUUGCCAGAACGCGCUCGACGGUGAGGGAUGAAAGCUGAGGGAGCAAACCGGAUUAGAUACCCGGGUAGUCCCAGCUGUAAACGAUGCAGACUCGGUGAUGAGUUGGCUUAUUGCUAACUCAGUGCCGCAGGGAAGCCGUUAAGAUUGCCGCCUGGGGAGUACGGUCGCAAGACUGAAACUUAAAGGAAUUGGCGGGGGAGCAC
Molecule: ribosomal RNA, 747 nt
Filed under: uncultured soil archaeon
Lineage: Archaea
Description: bacterial SSU rRNA
Rfam family: Archaeal small subunit ribosomal RNA
Source: RNAcentral